GCCCACUUAGCUCAGAGGUU
Molecule: transfer RNA, 20 nt
Filed under: Aegilops markgrafii
Lineage: Eukaryota; Viridiplantae; Streptophyta; Magnoliopsida; Poales; Poaceae
Also listed under: 5 other names
Description: partial tRNA-Thr
Source: RNAcentral